GAACGUAUGGCUUAGCGGUCAGAGAAUAUGGUCGGUUUCCACGAGGUGCGGGUUCGAGUCCCGCUACGUUCA
This 72-nucleotide transfer RNA is filed under the name Heliconius melpomene (postman butterfly). RNAcentral's name for it is "tRNA HMEL006126". It matches the Rfam family "tRNA". From Rfam's summary of the family: Transfer RNA (tRNA) molecules are approximately 80 nucleotides in length. Their secondary structure includes four short double-helical elements and three loops (D, anti-codon, and T loops). Lineage: Eukaryota; Metazoa; Arthropoda; Insecta; Lepidoptera; Nymphalidae. The record is from RNAcentral.